CCCCCGGGCCCGCGCCCGCCGAAGACACCCUCGAACUCUGUCUGAAGAUUGUAGUCUGAGUGAAAAUAUAAAUUAUUUAAAACUUUCAACAACGGAUCUCUUGGUUCCGGCAUCGAUGAAGAACGCAGCGAAAUGCGAUACGUAAUGUGAAUUGCAAAUUCAGUGAAUCAUCGAGUCUUUGAACGCACAUUGCGCCCCCUGGUAUUCCGGGGGGCAUGCCUGUCCGAGCGUCAUUGCUGCCCUCAAGCACGGCUUGUGUGUUGGGCCCCGUCCUCCGAUCCCGGGGGACGGGCCCGAAAGGCAGCGGCGGCACCGCGUCCGGUCCUCGAGCGUAUGGGGCUUUGUCACCCGCUCUGUAGGCCCGGCCGGCGCUUGCCGAUCAACCCAAAUUUUUAUCCAGGUUGACCUCGGAUCAGGUAGGGAUACCCGCUGAACUUAAGCAUAUCAAUAAGCGGAGGAAAAGAAACCAACAGGGAUUGCCCCAGUAACGGCGAGUGAAGCGGCAAGAGCUCAAAUUUGAAAGCUGGCUCCUUCGGGGUCCGCAUUGUAAUUUGUAGAGGAUGCUUCGGGAGCGGUCCCCAUCUAAGUGCCCUGGAACGGGACGUCAUAGAGGGUGAGAAUCCCGUAUGGGAUGGGGUGUCCGCGCCCGUGUGAAGCUCCUUCGACGAGUCGAGUUGUUUGGGAAUGCAGCUCUAAAUGGGUGGUAAAUUUCAUCUAAAGCUAAAUAUUGGCCGGAGACCGAUAGCGCACAAGUAGAGUGAUCGAAAGAUGAAAAGCACUUUGAAAAGAGAGUUAAAAAGCACGUGAAAUUGUUGAAAGGGAAGCGCUUGCGACCAGACUCGCUCGCGGGGUUCAGCCGGCAUUCGUGCCGGUGUACUUCCCCGCGGGCGGGCCAGCGUCGGUUUGGGCGGUCGGUCAAAGGCCCUCGGAAGGUAACGCCCCUAGGGGCGUCUUAUAGCCGAGGGUGCAAUGCGACCUGCCUAGAC
This 986-nucleotide ribosomal RNA is filed under the name Penicillium chrysogenum. Its description in RNAcentral is "eukaryotic LSU rRNA". The stretch from base 403 to 986 matches the Rfam family "Eukaryotic large subunit ribosomal RNA", at positions 1 to 589 of the family's 3401-position model. Lineage: Eukaryota; Fungi; Ascomycota; Eurotiomycetes; Eurotiales; Aspergillaceae. The record is from RNAcentral.